This 72-nucleotide transfer RNA is filed under the name Babesia gibsoni. RNAcentral describes it as "tRNA-Gly". It matches the Rfam family "tRNA". Rfam says of the family: Transfer RNA (tRNA) molecules are approximately 80 nucleotides in length. Their secondary structure includes four short double-helical elements and three loops (D, anti-codon, and T loops). The record is from RNAcentral. Lineage: Eukaryota; Apicomplexa; Aconoidasida; Piroplasmida; Babesiidae.
GCGUCAGUGGUCUAGCGGUUAUGAUAUCUGCCUUCCAAGCAGAUGAUCCGGGUUCGACUCCCGGCUGACGCA